GUACACGCUGUGACUAGCAUAUCAAUAAGCGGAGGAAAAGGGGCAGUGGCUUGACCAUAUCUCGGGAAAGAAGUCAUGGUCGUACCUACGCUUAGGAUGUUGACACACGCGCGUGCUCGACUCUAUACAUGACUCUGUGCAUAUCAAUAAGCGGAGGAAAAGAAACUAACAAGGAUUCCCCUAGUAACGGCGAGUGAAGCGGGAAGAGCUCAAAUUUGAAAUCUUAAAGGGUUUCCCUUUACGAAUUGUAGUUUAAAGAAGUGUUUUCUGUUGAGGUUUUGGUAAAAGUUCUUUGGAAUAGGACAUCAUAGAGGGUGAGAAUCCCGUAUUUGACCUUUACUUUCAACUUUGUGAUACACUUUCAAAGAGUCGGAUUGUUUGGGAAUGCAGUCCAAAAUGGGUGGUAAAUUUCAUCUAAAGCUAAAUAUUGGCGAGAGACCGAUAGCGAACAAGUACCGUGAGGGAAAGAUGAAAAGAACUUUGAAAAGAGAGUUAAACAGUACGUGAAAUUGUCAAAAGGGAAGCGUUUGACACCAGUGUUGUUUUUCUGAAGAUCAAUUAAAGAACUGUUUAUGCUAAGUUGUUUAGACUUUAUCAGCUAUCUGUUUAGUUUUGAGCUUUUCUUUAAUGCACUUUUCAGUUAACAAGUCAACAUCAAUUUCUUUUGCUGUAAAAAAGCUUGAGGAAGGUGGCUUGAGAUUCGUCUUAAGUGUUUAUAGCCUCUUGCCUAUGCAGUCGGAGAGAUUGAGGUCUGCAGCGUAGAUCCUUCGGGGCUAAAUGCAUUUGUGCUAAGUUAUAGCAUUUUAUAGACAACUUGUUGACUAUGAUUUGUCUUGUAGCUUACUCGCUUAUGUUAUUUUACCUACGCUUAGGAUGUUGAGUCGUACAGAGCGAGAGU
Molecule: ribosomal RNA, 898 nt
Filed under: uncultured Neocallimastigales
Lineage: Eukaryota; Fungi; Neocallimastigomycota; Neocallimastigomycetes; Neocallimastigales
Description: partial large subunit ribosomal RNA
Rfam family: Eukaryotic large subunit ribosomal RNA (bases 101-898)
Source: RNAcentral